GACGAACGCUGGCGGCGUGCUUAACACAUGCAAGUCGAACGGUGAAAGAAGAGCUUGCUCUUCUGGAUCAGUGGCGAACGGGUGAGUAACACGUGAGUAACCUGCCCCUGACUCUGGAAUAAGCGCUGGAAACGGCGUCUAAUACCGGAUACGAGACAGAGCUGCAUGGCUACUGUCUGGAAAGUUUUUCGGUCUGGGUUGUACUCGCGGCCUAUCAGCUUGUUGGUGAGGUAACGGCUCACCAAGGCAACGACGGGUAGCCGGCCUGAGAGGGCGACCGGCACCACUGGGCUGGGGAAAGGCCCCGGAGUCCAACGGGAGGCAGCGGGGGGAAUUAUUGGAAAAUGGCGAAAGCCUGAUGCAGCGACGCCGCGUGAGGGAUGACGGCCUUCGGGUUGUAAACCUCUUUCAGCAGGGAAGAAGCGAAAGUGACGGUACCUGCAGAAGAAGCACCGGCUAACUACGUG
RNAcentral lists this ribosomal RNA (467 nucleotides) under uncultured bacterium. Its description in RNAcentral is "partial 16S ribosomal RNA". It matches the Rfam family "Bacterial small subunit ribosomal RNA", at positions 28 to 507 of the family's 1533-position model. The record is from RNAcentral.